This is a non-coding RNA of Equus caballus (horse), 924 nucleotides long. The record is from RefSeq and is a predicted model, not a curated record. Lineage: Eukaryota; Metazoa; Chordata; Mammalia; Perissodactyla; Equidae.
AAUAAAGGAGACCACAGGGAAUGACUUCACAAAGCUGUGGCUGCUCCAGCAAAGGAAAAUCGGGGACUUUAUUUGGGACAGGGAAUGAAUAUUCCAAAGAGAAUACGUCACGUGUGGAGGUGUCACUCUUGCGGUUGGGGUCUGGACCGGUUCAGGGUGGUUGGUGUUGAGAUCUUCUUCCUACAACAGCUGAAACCAGCAACUUAAGGACGUCAGAGAAUGGAACACCUGCACGCUUCAGCAAGGCGAGAGCAAUAGGUCAGAGCCCGCGGCUGGCAACAGUUUCUUUUUGGCCGCUUCAGGUUUCUCAAACUUCAUUUUGAAUUUGAGAACAUUACGUUCAGUGAAAGAAGCCAGACACAAAAGGCCAUAUAGCGUGUGAUUCCGUUUACAUGAAAUGUCCAGAAUAGGCAAAUCCCUAGAGACAGAGCACAAAUUGGUGGUGCUGGGAGCAGGAGGGAGGGAGGAGUCGGGAGUGACUGCUUAAUGGCUAUGGGGUUUCCUUUCAGGGAGACUAAAAGGUUCUGGAACUAGAUGGUGGUGAUGGUUGCACAAUUUUGUGAGGGUACUAAAUGCCGUGGGACUAGACACUUUAAAAUGAUGGGGUUUACCUUAAUUAAAAAAAAAAAAACAACUAUAGUUUGAGCCCACCUUCUUUCAGCUCAUCCUUCAGGUGGAUGGAAAAUGCCAGACCCUGAAGGCAGCAUGUAUAGCUGGGUUUUUAAGUUGCCUCGAUUUCUUCCAAGGGCAUCAAGGUGCCCCCCCAGCGUUGGUCCCCUCUGGAUCACCCCUGGGUCUCCCACAGCUCAGCAACGGCCUCCUCAUCCUGCUUGCUGUUUUCUCCUCCAACCAGUAGCUGGUCUGGACCAGCUCCGAGGUUCGAAGGAAUUUGAAGUAUUGUUUUGAAUUAAAGUCUUAAGCCUA